Long non-coding RNA from Neofelis nebulosa (Clouded leopard), 849 nucleotides. RefSeq lists it as uncharacterized. The transcript has 2 exons. NCBI's taxonomy places the organism in Eukaryota, Metazoa, Chordata, Mammalia, Carnivora, Felidae. The record is from RefSeq and is a predicted model, not a curated record.
CUAUUGAGUGAACGUUGGGACAGAGAGGACGAGCAUAAAGCAGAAGCGACCUGAACAGGGGAGAGCGGAACAGACAGAGGAGAGGAGAUACCUACUGGGCUCACUGGGCUGAACCCUGGGACUUUGGUUUCAGCUGCUACAUGUGAAAAACCUGAAAGUCUCCACUCCCACCCUUAAGUACCAAACUGGAAAGAACCCGGCUGUCCUCCAGCAGGUGAAUGGUUCAAUGAAUCCUGGUACAUCCACCCGGUGGACUACGAUGCAGGGACAAAAAGGGAAGACCUACUGAGACACGCACCAAACAUGGAGAGUCUCCAGACCACUACAGUGAGUGAGAAGUCCCCCAGAAGUUACCUACUGUAGGAUUCCAUUUAUUUUAUUUUUAAAUUCAUUUAUAUUGAGGGACACAGAAAGCGCAUGCAAGCAGGGGAGGGGAAGACAGAGAAGGAGAGAGAGAAUCCCAAACAGGCUCCUCACUGUCAGUGCAGAGCCUGAAGCCGGGCUUGAACUCACAAACCGUGAGAUCAUGACCUGAGCCGAAACUAAGUCGGUCGCUGAACUGAUUGAGCCACCCAAGUACCCCUGUAGGAUUCCAUUUAUAUGACAUUCCUGAAGGACAAGUUGUAGAAGUGGAGAGCAGAUAAGUAGUAUCCGGAAUUAAGGUGAGGUGGACGCAGGAGGGAGGAGGGCGUGGCCCUGAAAGGGCAACAUGGCGGGGGUGGGUGGGGGCAGGGAUCUCUGUGGUGAUGGACUUGUUUUGUAUCCGUGUCAGUGUCUGGUGUUCGUAUUGUAUUGCCCUCUGGUUGUGCUAUUAGGAAAACUGCAUUAAACGGCAGAGAUGUAUCUGUA